AUUAGUUGGUCCAUGAGCCCAUUAUAUUAUUACACCCUAAACCUAUAUAUUGCUCUCAUUUGUGAAGGAGCCGUGUGUGUGUGCAAUUGAAAAGAGGCAGCCUACAUUUUUCUCUAGUUUUCUCUCUUGAGCCAAAAAUUGAAUAUGUCUUCCUCUAUUCUUUGUGAUUCAUUGCAGCCAUCAUAUUGUGUUCUUUGUGAACACAU
This 206-nucleotide long non-coding RNA is filed under the name Olea europaea (common olive). RNAcentral describes it as "long non-coding RNA (OEUR_LNC006405)". The record is from RNAcentral. Lineage: Eukaryota; Viridiplantae; Streptophyta; Magnoliopsida; Lamiales; Oleaceae.